UUUCAAAGUCAGGAAGUCACGUGGGGCUCUUUUGGGAAAACAUUUUUUAGUAAAAAAGAUCUGCUGACUCGCUUUUGAGAUCAAGUGACGAGAAUUUUUCAAAAGCUGGGUUUAAUCCAAUUUCUUAGAGGUUUUCGACCUGCUUGGUGAUGAAUUACCAUUUAAUUGGCAAUUUUAUUGGUUAUUUUUGUGUUUUUAAACCUCUGCCACCUUUGCAAAAAACUUGGGCUUCUAAUGUCG
Molecule: long non-coding RNA, 240 nt
Filed under: Prunus persica (peach)
Lineage: Eukaryota; Viridiplantae; Streptophyta; Magnoliopsida; Rosales; Rosaceae
Description: long non-coding RNA (PPER_LNC004623)
Source: RNAcentral